AAAACCCACACUCUUCCACGGAACUCCAGAAGGUUUGGCAGCCACGUGCAAGCAGCGCCCAGCAUCCUCCCCCUGCAAGGAGAAAUGUCGCGCCCCCUCCGGACAUUGGGGCAGCGAGAACGCUUCGCUUCCGCGCAAUCACGUGCCUUCCUUGAAUUCACGCUGUGCUGGGGAGGACAGAGCCGCCUUUGUUCGGGCCCCGCUGCUGCUGCGGAGGAGCUGGAACCAAGUCCUGGGCGCUGGCGGCGUGACAGUGCCGCUCCUGGCACGUCCGCACGGCAAGCAUCGAGGAAAAGCAAAACGUGAUUGGGGAGCGUGGCUGCAGGGGCAGGACGCCCUUUCCCAGCACAUCCCCGUGGAUUUUUGCCUCCUCGCAUGGUCCCAGCAUGGAUUUUAUUUUACGGGCUGCGUUUCACCUCCCUCCGUCACACAAAAAGCUGGGUCACGGGGAACUGAGCGACCCUAAAACGUCCCCCACUGCCCCCACCCCACUUAAUCCCCACUGUCCCCGUGCCCAACAAACCCCAUUACUGUCCCUGCCGGCUCGCUCAGGGACAACUUGAGCAUCUGGGGCUGCAUGGCCGGGACUGAUCCUGCACAGGACCCAGCAUUGGUGGGUGGCCGGGGACUGGGCGCUGCGCUGGGAGCCAGCCCCAAUCCCAAGCCUGCGCGGCUGAAGGCUCCCCCAGAGCCAGCCCUGGGCUUUCCCGCAUGAAUCCCUGCUCAGAUUUCUGCCCCAAGCAGCUCCUGCAGUGGGAACCUUGGCCAGGACGGGAGCUCCGCGGCUCUUCCCGGAGCUGGGCCCUAUGGGGCUGAGAUAAGGCGCUGUGGGGCUGCUGAUACGGUUAUCACCGUGGCACCUACGGUGGUGGCUUUAUUGCUGUGAUGGCAGGAAAAAGCCCUUUAUGUCAGCAGGUUUUGCCUGCACGAGUUGAUAAAGUCGCUGUGGUUCGCCUUAUUGCCACCUGAAUUUCCCCUGCUCCCGGGGACCAGAGCUGUGCACGGGUGAGGAAUUGGGCUGCCGUGUGCAAGGGGUCUGAAGUGUGGGAUGUUGGAGAAAUUUGGGGAUUUCUGCUCGUGGAGCUGCUCAGCAUGAGCAAAAUUGCUGGACAAAGCACGUCUGAGAGCUCGGGGGGGUUCUCCCAGGAGCUGCUCCUGCAAAUCCACGAGCGGCGGAGUCAGGAAAGGCUGGGGGCUGCAUCGGGGUUCUCAUCGCUGUGCUGAAAAAAAAUUUGGAAAAGUGACUUCCAGGCUCCUUCCCCGGGAAAAAUGCACCCCGAUGUCAUGUUGCAACUGAGCCAAAGCUGGGCACAACUGCAGCUGGUCCCCAAGCGGUCCCCAAAGGGACCCCAGAGGGAUGCUGACCUCGGGGGGGAUGCUGAUGGGGUUAGCUCCCCGCAUGUAGGUGCGGAGGCAGAGGAGCAGCAUUUACACCAUCAUAAAGAUUUUGCGCAAGGCUCCGGGAG
RNAcentral lists this long non-coding RNA (1466 nucleotides) under Anser brachyrhynchus (Pink-footed goose). Its description in RNAcentral is "lncRNA (ENSABRG00000001666.1)". The record is from RNAcentral. Lineage: Eukaryota; Metazoa; Chordata; Aves; Anseriformes; Anatidae.